AUGGGGUUCUGUGACUUCACGUCUGGGAGGAAUGUGACUGCUUGGAUUCAGGCUGUGUGAUGCAGAGACAUGUGAUAUGAAUGGGACUCAGAGUUUGACCUGGUUCCCUGGCUGAGACAAGAGAGGGAGACACUGAGGAGGUCCACUUCAAGUCUUCGCAGCAGAGCCACCAAAGCCCAAGGCAGACUGGGGACAGAGUCUUCAGUUUGGUCUUCAUCACGCAGGGAACAGUUACACAAUGGGAAAGGUGACUCCGUGUGAGAAGAGAGUCCAGAGAAACCAGGUGCUGGCACUAAUGGCGUGCUCCACCACCACGCCCGGCUACCUCCUGGUUUUUAACAGGAUCUCUGGCCUCGAACUCCAGGUGUAGCUGAGGAUGACCGCUGUCCUAUCUCUAUCUGGGCUUGCAUUCACGUAACACACACCAGGCCUAUGAAGCGCUGGGACCCAUUGCAUCAUGCGUGCUACGUGAGUUCCAUCUCCAACCCUGAAACUUUCUUUUAGGAUGUUCACUUGUGUAUCAUCCGUCUCAUCACCUUCUAAAGAAGGCACAGUUGUCUCCGGAUCCCAGAGCAAUGAUGGACAACCAUGGGUACUGUGGUUUGUUGAUUGACUACAUAAUGAGUGACAAGAACAUCUGUCAUUUACAAUAUACACAAUUGUAUCAUUGCAUCCAUCCCAUGACAAUGCACAGGGAAAACCCAAACCUCUGAAAGGUGAAACAAUUUGACUCAGGUUGCCCAGUGAGUUAGUCUCAGGGACCAAACAGAAUCAGCCUGAUUUUAAGGUUACCCCUGAUUCUAGAGGAGGAACGAGGUGGGGAACCCCACAAAUGUCCUGAAGAUAGGUGGGUGGAACUCAUGGGUCAACAAGACAAAGAAGACCUAGGUUCAGGGAUUGUGUGGAUUACUCAACUUCUUGAAGAUCAGAGAAGACAAGGGACGUGACUAAGGUUAUACAGCCCACCAAUGGUGGGAACAUGACUGGAACCCUUGGUGUUUGGAUUCCUGAUGCCAUGUAAGGAACUGGCUGGAGAGAGGUGUGGACAAGACAGUCAAGGAGAAAGCAAACCACUGAGGUUACAGCCUUGAUCAUCCUGGUUGCACCAUGGGCCAGGUUGUUUUUGGUCACGGUGUUCCCAGGAAAAGAAUCCUAACCAAGACAGCAGACUUUAUAUCGUUCUAGGCAUCGGUAGAAGGUGACCAGAC
Molecule: long non-coding RNA, 1208 nt
Filed under: Cricetulus griseus (Chinese hamster)
Lineage: Eukaryota; Metazoa; Chordata; Mammalia; Rodentia; Cricetidae
Description: lncRNA (ENSCGRG00015031563.1)
Source: RNAcentral